RNAcentral lists this ribosomal RNA (1721 nucleotides) under Escherichia coli. Its description in RNAcentral is "partial 23S ribosomal RNA". It matches the Rfam family "Bacterial large subunit ribosomal RNA", at positions 1216 to 2915 of the family's 2925-position model. The record is from RNAcentral. Lineage: Bacteria; Pseudomonadati; Pseudomonadota; Gammaproteobacteria; Enterobacterales; Enterobacteriaceae.
AUGCGUUGUUGGGUAGGGGAGCGUUCUGUAAGCCUGUGAAGGUGUACUGUGAGGUAUGCUGGAGGUAUCAGAAGUGCGAAUGCUGACAUAAGUAACGAUAAAGCGGGUGAAAAGCCCGCUCGCCGGAAGACCAAGGGUUCCUGUCCAACGUUAAUCGGGGCAGGGUGAGUCGACCCCUAAGGCGAGGCCGAAAGGCGUAGUCGAUGGGAAACAGGUUAAUAUUCCUGUACUUGGUGUUACUGCGAAGGGGGGACGGAGAAGGCUAUGUUGGCCGGGCGACGGUUGUCCCGGUUUAAGCGUGUAGGCUGGUUUUCCAGGCAAAUCCGGAAAAUCAAGGCUGAGGCGUGAUGACGAGGCACUACGGUGCUGAAGCAACAAAUGCCCUGCUUCCAGGAAAAGCCUCUAAGCAUCAGGUAACAUCAAAUCGUACCCCAAACCGACACAGGUGGUCAGGUAGAGAAUACCAAGGCGCUUGAGAGAACUCGGGUGAAGGAACUAGGCAAAAUGGUGCCGUAACUUCGGGAGAAGGCACGCUGAUAUGUAGGUGAAGUCCCUCGCGGAUGGAGCUGAAAUCAGUCGAAGAUACCAGCUGGCUGCAACUGUUUAUUAAAAACACAGCACUGUGCAAACACGAAAGUGGACGUAUACGGUGUGACGCCUGCCCGGUGCCGGAAGGUUAAUUGAUGGGGUUAGCGCAAGCGAAGCUCUUGAUCGAAGCCCCGGUAAACGGCGGCCGUAACUAUAACGGUCCUAAGGUAGCGAAAUUCCUUGUCGGGUAAGUUCCGACCUGCACGAAUGGCGUAAUGAUGGCCAGGCUGUCUCCACCCGAGACUCAGUGAAAUUGAACUCGCUGUGAAGAUGCAGUGUACCCGCGGCAAGACGGAAAGACCCCGUGAACCUUUACUAUAGCUUGACACUGAACAUUGAGCCUUGAUGUGUAGGAUAGGUGGGAGGCUUUGAAGUGUGGACGCCAGUCUGCAUGGAGCCGACCUUGAAAUACCACCCUUUAAUGUUUGAUGUUCUAACGUUGACCCGUGAUCCGGGUUGCGGACAGUGUCUGGUGGGUAGUUUGACUGGGGCGGUCUCCUCCUAAAGAGUAACGGAGGAGCACGAAGGUUGGCUAAUCCUGGUCGGACAUCAGGAGGUUAGUGCAAUGGCAUAAGCCAGCUUGACUGCGAGCGUGACGGCGCGAGCAGGUGCGAAAGCAGGUCAUAGUGAUCCGGUGGUUCUGAAUGGAAGGGCCAUCGCUCAACGGAUAAAAGGUACUCCGGGGAUAACAGGCUGAUACCGCCCAAGAGUUCAUAUCGACGGCGGUGUUUGGCACCUCGAUGUCGGCUCAUCACAUCCUGGGGCUGAAGUAGGUCCCAAGGGUAUGGCUGUUCGCCAUUUAAAGUGGUACGCGAGCUGGGUUUAGAACGUCGUGAGACAGUUCGGUCCCUAUCUGCCGUGGGCGCUGGAGAACUGAGGGGGGCUGCUCCUAGUACGAGAGGACCGGAGUGGACGCAUCACUGGUGUUCGGGUUGUCAUGCCAAUGGCACUGCCCGGUAGCUAAAUGCGGAAGAGAUAAGUGCUGAAAGCAUCUAAGCACGAAACUUGCCCCGAGAUGAGUUCUCCCUGACUCCUUGAGAGUCCUGAAGGAACGUUGAAGACGACGACGUUGAUAGGCCGGGUGUGUAAGCGCAGCGAUGCGUUGAGCUAACCGGUACUAAUGAACCGUGAGG